GGGUUGUGAGGUUAAGCGACUAAGCGUACACGGUGGAUGCCCUGGCAGUCAGAGGCGAUGAAGGGCGUGCUAAUCUGCGAUAAGCGCCGGUAAGGUGAUAUGAACCGUUAUAACCGGCGAUACCCGAAUGGGGAAACCCAGUGUGACUCGUCACACUAUCAUUAACUGAAUCCAUAGGUUAAUGAGGCGAACCGGGGGAACUGAAACAUCUAAGUACCCCGAGGAAAAGAAAUCAACCGAGAUUCCCCCAGUAGCGGCGAGCGAACGGGGAGGAGCCCAGAGCCUGAAUCAGCAUGUGUGUUAGUGGAAGCGUCUGGAAAGGCGCGCGAUACAGGGUGACAGCCCCGUACACAAAAGCGCAUGUGCUGUGAGCUCGAUGAGUAGGGCGGGACACGUGGUAUCCUGUCUGAAUAUGGGGGGACCAUCCUCCAAGGCUAAAUACUCCUGACUGACCGAUAGUGAACCAGUACCGUGAGGGAAAGGCGAAAAGAACCCCGGCGAGGGGAGUGAAAAAGAACCUGAAACCGUGUACGUACAAGCAGUGGGAGCACCCUUUGGGUGUGACUGCGUACCUUUUGUAUAAUGGGUCAGCGACUUAUAUUCUGUAGCAAGGUUAACCGAAUAGGGGAGCCGGAGGGAAACCGAGUCUUAAUUGGGCGUUAAGUUGCAGGGUAUAGACCCGAAACCCGGUGAUCUAGCCAUGGGCAGGUUGAAGGUUGGGUAACACUAACUGGAGGACCGAACCGACUAAUGUUGAAAAAUUAGCGGAUGACCUGUGGCUGGGGGUGAAAGGCCAAUCAAACCGGGAGAUAGCUGGUUCUCCCCGAAAGCUAUUUAGGUAGCGCCUCGUGAAUUCAUCUCCGGGGGUAGAGCACUGUUUCGGCUAGGGGGCCAUCCCGGCUUACCAACCCGAUGCAAACUGCGAAUACCGGAGAAUGUUAUCACGGGAGACACACGGCGGGUGCUAACGUCCGUCGUGAAGAGGGAAACAACCCAGACCGCCAGCUAAGGUCCCAAAGUCAUGGUUAAGUGGGAAACGAUGUGGGAAGGCCCAGACAGCCAGGAUGUUGGCUUAGAAGCAGCCAUCAUUUAAAGAAAGCGUAAUAGCUCACUGGUCGAGUCGGCCUGCGCGGAAGAUGUAACGGGGCUAAACCAUGCACCGAAGCUGCGGCAGCGACGCUUAUGCGUUGUUGGGUAGGGGAGCGUUCUGUAAGCCUGCGAAGGUGGCCUGUGAGGGUUGCUGGAGGUAUCAGAAGUGCGAAUGCUGACAUAAGUAACGAUAAAGCGGGUGAAAAGCCCGCUCGCCGGAAGACCAAGGGUUCCUGUCCAACGUUAAUCGGGGCAGGGUGAGUCGACCCCUAAGGCGAGGCCGAAAGGCGUAGUCGAUGGGAAACGGGUUAAUAUUCCCGUACUUGGUGUUACUGCGAAGGGGGGACGGAGAAGGCUAUGUUGGCCGGGCGACGGUU
Molecule: ribosomal RNA, 1466 nt
Filed under: Salmonella enterica subsp. enterica serovar Enteritidis
Lineage: Bacteria; Pseudomonadati; Pseudomonadota; Gammaproteobacteria; Enterobacterales; Enterobacteriaceae
Description: partial 23S ribosomal RNA
Rfam family: Bacterial large subunit ribosomal RNA
Source: RNAcentral